GAUCAUGGCUCAGGACGAACGCUGGCGGCGUGCUUAACACAUGCAAGUCGAACGAUGAAAGAGGAGCUUGCUCCUCUGGAUUAGUGGCGAACGGGUGAGUAACACGUGAGCAAUCUGCCCCUGACUCCGGAAUAACUACGGGAAACUGUAGCUAAUACCGGAUAUGCGCCGAACAGGCAUCUGUAUCGGUGGGAAAGAAUUUCGGUCAGGGAUGAGCUCGCGGCCUAUCAG
Molecule: ribosomal RNA, 231 nt
Filed under: uncultured bacterium
Lineage: Bacteria
Description: partial 16S ribosomal RNA
Rfam family: Bacterial small subunit ribosomal RNA
Source: RNAcentral